CUAUGCNCUUAUGACCUGGGCUACACACGUGCUACAAUGGCUGGUACAACGAGUCGCAAGCCGGUGACGGCAAGCUAAUCUCUUAAAGCCAGUCUCAGUUCGGAUUGUAGGCUGCAACUCGCCUACAUGAAGUCGGAAUCGCUAGUAAUCGCGGAUCAGCACGCCGCGGUGAAUACGUUCCCGGGCCUUGUACACACCGCCCGUCACACCACGAGAGUUUGUAACACCCGAAGUCGGUGAGGUAACCGUAAGGAGCCAGCCGCCUAAGGUGGGAUAGAUGAUUGGGGUGAAGUCGUAACAAGGUAGCCGUAUCGGAAGGUGCGGUUGGAUCCCCUNUUNNA
RNAcentral lists this ribosomal RNA (341 nucleotides) under Streptococcus sp. SalMarEg. RNAcentral's name for it is "bacterial SSU rRNA". It matches the Rfam family "Bacterial small subunit ribosomal RNA", at positions 1194 to 1533 of the family's 1533-position model. The record is from RNAcentral. Lineage: Bacteria; Bacillati; Bacillota; Bacilli; Lactobacillales; Streptococcaceae.